Molecule: long non-coding RNA, 1503 nt
Organism: Brachypodium distachyon (stiff brome)
Lineage: Eukaryota; Viridiplantae; Streptophyta; Magnoliopsida; Poales; Poaceae
Exons: 3
Source: RefSeq, a predicted model, not a curated record
UGUGCUCGGCGCCGUUGCUCGCCAACCUCUCCGCCUCCGCCGCCUUCUUCCGCAUCCUCGGCGGCGCUCCCAUCUCCGUCGCCGUGCCUGUCACAAACGCUACCACCUUCGCCGUCCGCCGUCGCCGCCGCUGCCGCUGCCGCCGCGCUCCUUGUCCUCGGCGUCUUGGUCUGCAUCUCCUAGAAGGUCCAUCUUGAAUGCUGUGUUUGGAAGCAGCGGGUACUGUACCUGGUUAUUUCUACUCUGCAAAAUACAAUAUCAUGGCUGUGGUUCUGGGAGGGAGAACUUCUGAAUCACUACAUGCUUAAUACUAAGAAGGUUGAUCACUCCUUCAUUCUUGAGACAACCUUCUGGAAGGAAGAGGAUCAUCGAGAAGCGUUCGCGCACACUCUCAUCCCUACAGACAUAUUCCACAAGCGUGCUUUUCCCUGCUCCUAAUGGACCAACAAUCGGGAGUACAGCUAAGUCUGGAGUAACACUUGGACACAGCAAGAAGUUCAGAACCUGUUCCUGUUCGGUUUGGCGACCAAACAUGCAAUUGUCCAAGAGCAAAUAUGUGCCGUACGGUUGCCGGAUUAUCCGAGGAUAUGACUCCAAGAAGAAAAGAAACUCAUUCAUACCAGUCAUGGUGUCUUCAAGAGUAUCAACCAUAUGUUGCAGUUCUUCUGGUAUACUGUUGUUUGCAACAAAGAACAGUGCUGCUUCUCUGUUGCUGCUACCACCGUCAUUUCUAGAGAGACGAAGCCGUUUGGAUUGACUGAAUCUAGACAGCGCAGUUGAUGAGUAGCUCACCUCAUCCUCAUCCUCUCCAAAGUCUUGGAAUCUCGAGGCAUCAAGAACAUAGUGGCCUCUGUACAUUCCUUGCCUCAAGAUCUUGAGCUGACGGAGCAUACCUUUGCUGGUGAUGUGCCGCCCCUCUGCCUCCUUGACAACGGUGUCCAUUCUCAUUACAACUCUCUGCAACCUCUGUAGAAUCUUGUCGAUGCCAGGCUGCUGCUGGAAGUAUUUGUUGAUCACGAAUGCUGCCGACCUGCUGAUGAGGUCACCUAUGAUUGCAGAGACAACUAUAUCCAUUGAUUGUGCAGGAACCUCCUUGACUCGGAGCACGAAAGGUACAAUGGAAAAGUGAUAGAAACAGCUGUGAGUGGUACUAGGUAGUUGGAUGGAUCAACAUGCUAUGUGACGUGGGUGCCCUGCCAAUUUUUAAGCGAGUCUUCAUCUGACGGGUAGAAUUGAGGUGUCACCAAUCACCAGCCUUCAUUGUCUUUCUUUUUAUUUAUACCUUUGUGCUUAGUCGUCUCAAAUCUAUGGCAAAUCUUGAUCUGUGAUGCCUUUCCUGAUCUUUAGGUUCUUAAUUCUUUUCUUGUUAAUUUCAGUCACCUAAAAUUGCGCCCUGCAGCUAAGCAUGUAAUUGCAAUGCUUGGAGCCCUGCAACUUUAUGAAGAUGAUAGACUGAUAAGUGUAAUUUCUAGUUUGAAAGUUAUAUGUGGAGUGGCUUGGAUA